RNAcentral lists this transfer RNA (77 nucleotides) under Marmota monax (woodchuck). RNAcentral describes it as "tRNA.Ser". Lineage: Eukaryota; Metazoa; Chordata; Mammalia; Rodentia; Sciuridae. The record is from RNAcentral.
CUGGGGUUGUGGCUCAGUGGUAGAGCACUUGCCUAGAUAGCAUGUAUGAGGCACUGGUUUGAUUCUAGCACUACAUA